This 468-nucleotide ribosomal RNA is filed under the name uncultured bacterium. RNAcentral describes it as "partial 16S ribosomal RNA". It matches the Rfam family "Bacterial small subunit ribosomal RNA", at positions 28 to 507 of the family's 1533-position model. The record is from RNAcentral.
GACGAACGCUGGCGGCGUGCUUAACACAUGCAAGUCGAACGGAAAGGCCCUGCUUUUGUGGGGUGCUCGAGUGGCGAACGGGUGAGUAACACGUGAGUAACCUGCCCUUGACUUUGGGAUAACUUCAGGAAACUGGGGCUAAUACCGGAUAGGAGCUCCUGCUGCAUGGUGGGGGUUGGAAAGUUUCGGCGGUUGGGGAUGGACUCGCGGCCUAUCAGCUUGUUGGUGGGGUAGUGGCUUACCAAGGCUUUGACGGGUAGCCGGCCUGAGAGGGUGACCGGCCACAUUGGGACUGGGCUGCGGCCCAGACUCCUACGGGAGGCAGCGGUGGGGAAUAUUGCACAAUGGGCGGAAGCCUGAUGCAGCAACGCCGCGUGCGGGAUGACGGCCUUCGGGUUGUAAACCGCUUUCGCCUGUGACGAAGCGUGAGUGACGGUAAUGGGUAAAGAAGCACCGGCUAACUACGUG